GACCUGGGUUCUUUUCCCAGCUCUUCUAGUGGGCUGCUGGGUGACCCUGGGCAAGUCACUUAACCACUUGUGCCUCAGUUUCUCAUAUAUAAAAUGGGAAUAAUGAUACUGAUGUCCUUUGUAAAGCACUUUA
Molecule: small nucleolar RNA, 133 nt
Filed under: Chelonoidis abingdonii (Abingdon island giant tortoise)
Lineage: Eukaryota; Metazoa; Chordata; Testudines; Testudinidae
Description: Small nucleolar RNA ACA59 (ENSCABG00000016451.1)
Source: RNAcentral